RNAcentral lists this ribosomal RNA (253 nucleotides) under uncultured bacterium. RNAcentral's name for it is "partial 16S ribosomal RNA". It matches the Rfam family "Bacterial small subunit ribosomal RNA", at positions 524 to 776 of the family's 1533-position model. The record is from RNAcentral.
UACAUGUGGGGCAAGCGUUGUUCGGAAUUACUGGGCAUAAAGGGUGCGUAGGCGGCUUGUUAAGUCAGGGGUGAAAGUUUUCGGCCCAACCGGAAAAUUGCCUUUGAUACUGGCGAGCUCGAGUGCGUGAGGGGUAACCGGAACGAGCAGUGUAGCGGUGAAAUGCGUAGAUAUUGCUCGGAAGGCCAACGGCGAAGGCAGGUUACUGGUACGCAACUGACGCUGAGGCACGAAAGCCAGGGGAGCAAACGGG